UGUGUAUGUGGUGUGUGUGGUAUGUAUGUGUGGUGUGUGUGUUGUGUAUGUGGUGUGUGUGGCAUGUAUGUUGCAUGCACGAGUGUGUUGUGUGUGUUAUGUGUGCACUGCAUGUGUGCGUGUGUUGUGUGUUGCGCGUGUUGUGUGUAUGUGUUGUGUAUGUGAUGUGUGUUGCACGUGUGUGUUGUGUAUGUGGUGUGUGCUGUUUGUGUGGUGUGUGUGUUGUGUAUGUGGUGUGUGUGAGUGUGUGUUGUGUAUGUGGUGUGUGUGAGUGUGUGUUGUGUAUGUGGUGUGUUGUGUGCGUGUGUGUUGUGUAUGUGAUGUGUGCUGGGUUUGUGGUGUG
RNAcentral lists this long non-coding RNA (343 nucleotides) under Homo sapiens (human). RNAcentral describes it as "HSALNT0387685". Lineage: Eukaryota; Metazoa; Chordata; Mammalia; Primates; Hominidae. The record is from RNAcentral.